This 553-nucleotide ribosomal RNA is filed under the name Preussia sp. JJP-2009a. RNAcentral describes it as "eukaryotic LSU rRNA". The stretch from base 215 to 368 matches the Rfam family "5.8S ribosomal RNA". The record is from RNAcentral. Lineage: Eukaryota; Fungi; Ascomycota; Dothideomycetes; Pleosporales; Sporormiaceae.
UUCCUUGGUCAUUUAGAGGAAGUAAAAGUCGUAACAAGGUUUCCGUAGGUGAACCUGCGGAAGGAUCAUUAUCGUUGGGCUUCGGCCCAUUCGAGAUAACACCCUUGCCUUUUUGAGUACCUUUUCGUUUCCUCGGCAGGCUCGCCUGCCAACGGGGACCCUUCAAAACGCUUUGUAAUACCUGUAAUUGUCUGAUAUAACAAGCAAAAAUCAAAACUUUCAACAACGGAUCUCUUGGUUCUGGCAUCGAUGAAGAACGCAGCGAAAUGCGAUAAGUAGUGUGAAUUGCAGAAUUCAGUGAAUCAUCGAAUCUUUGAACGCACAUUGCGCCCUUUGGUAUUCCUUAGGGCAUGCCUGUUCGAGCGUCAUUUAAACCUUCAAGCUCAGCUUGGUGAUGGGUGACUGUCCUCCCCUCGCGGGUGGACUCGCCUCAAAAACAUUGGCGGCCGGUACAUUGGCUUCGAGCGCAGCAGAAACGCGGUCUCGAGCCCGGUGGAUCGGCUCCCAUAAGCCUAUUCUUUUAUUUUGACCUCGGAUCAGGUAGGGAUACCGC